This is a long non-coding RNA of Chenopodium quinoa (quinoa), 1081 nucleotides long. RefSeq lists it as uncharacterized. The record is from RefSeq and is a predicted model, not a curated record. NCBI's taxonomy places the organism in Eukaryota, Viridiplantae, Streptophyta, Magnoliopsida, Caryophyllales, Amaranthaceae. The transcript has 4 exons.
UCUGAUUAGGGUAUUGAUUAUUUGAAAUAUGAUAAUUGUGAAAACACUGGGAUAAGCGCAAAGGAAAGGUACCCUAAAAUGAGUAAGGCCUUACUAAACAGCGGCAGGAAGAUAUAUUACUCCAUAUGUAAUUGGGGAGAAGAAGAUCCUGCAACAUGGGCCCCAAGUAUUGGAAACAGUUGGAGAACAACUCUUGAUAUCCAAGAUAAAUGGGAUAGGUGAAAGUGAUGUUGAGGUACUAAGGUACUAGCAAACCCACAUUACCACGGGCUCCCGGGCGGGCCUGCAUUGCCCACUAAGUAACUUACGGCCGUACCAGAUCAAGUAGUGUUUAUUACAAUUAUGUUGUUUGAGGACCUGUUGAUCAUAAUUGAUUUAAGUAAUGCUCGAUACAUACAUUCAGUGUCCUUAGGCCGGUCUCUCACUCUCUCUCCCUUCGUUGCCUCAUUACUACUCCGUACUCAUUAAACUGAAUCUGCUUUCGUACAAGACAGUGGCAGUUCCUCCAGUAGCCCUGUGUAUUAUGCUCACUUGGCUGCAUGUUGUGCUUGGUUUUAUGUCCAAGGGGAAGCCUAUGAUACUGCAACCUCAAGUGGAGGUGUGGACAUCAGCUCAAGACCUGAUGCUGAACAUUAAUGUACUUGUUAACUUUGUUUUGCGUGGAUUAGUCUUCGUACAGGCUUAUUAAGGUUACAAUUAUCUCCUUUCUAAAGAUGUAUCGUUUUUUAUUUUGAGAUCGUCUGUGUUCUUUUCAAUAUAUAUUCUCGCAACAUGUGAUAUUUGAGCUAAUAUAGCAGACAUUUUGCUGAGCUAUGCCGGUGCUGACAGCUAUUACAUGAUCAGUCGGUAAGGACUAAGGAGAAGGACAGCUAACCGUACCUCAACCCUCACGGUUUUUUUGGUCCGGUACUUACAAGUCAGACACUUUGAGAGUGAGGGGAAAGAUUAAGGGAUCUUCACUCUCAAAGUGUCCCUAAUAAGGUUGAAAGGUACAAUCCUUACCACUAGACCAAGCUUAGCGUGGUACUAUUACAUGAUCAGUUGGUCACUAAAAGACUCAUGUAGAUAAGUGAAUGCUAGU